GACGAACGCUGGCGGCGUGCUUAACACAUGCAAGUCGAACGGAAAGGCCCUGCUUUUGUGGGGUUCUCGAGUGGCGAACGGGUGAGUAACACGUGAGUAACCUGCCCUUGACUUUGGGAUAACUUCAGGAAACUGGGGCUAAUACCGGAUAGGAGCUCCUGCUGCAUGGUGGGGGUGGGAAAUUUUCGGCGGUCGGGGAUGGACGCGCGGCUGAUCAGCUUGUUGGUGGGGUAGUGGCUUACCAAGGCUUUGACGGGUAGCCGGCCUGAGAGGGUGACCGGCCACAUUGGGACUGCGAUACGGACCAGACUCCUACGGGAGGCAGCAGUGGGGAAUAUUGCACAAUGGGAGGAAGCCUGAUGAAGCAACGUCGCGUGCGGGAUGACGGCCUUCGGGUUGUAAACCGCUUUAGCCUGUGACGAAGCGUGAGUGACGGUAAUGGGUAAAGAAGCACCGGCUAACUACGUG
Molecule: ribosomal RNA, 468 nt
Filed under: uncultured bacterium
Lineage: Bacteria
Description: partial 16S ribosomal RNA
Rfam family: Bacterial small subunit ribosomal RNA
Source: RNAcentral